GAGCAGGAGUUAAUAUUUAAUAUUAAACAAUCGAACGAUAUAGAGAAGAUUAGCAUGACCCCUGCACAAGGUUGACAUGCAAAUUUGUGGAGCGUUCCAUACUUUU
This 106-nucleotide small nuclear RNA is filed under the name Chinchilla lanigera (long-tailed chinchilla). Lineage: Eukaryota; Metazoa; Chordata; Mammalia; Rodentia; Chinchillidae. The record is from RNAcentral.